RNAcentral lists this ribosomal RNA (449 nucleotides) under uncultured bacterium. RNAcentral's name for it is "partial 16S ribosomal RNA". It matches the Rfam family "Bacterial small subunit ribosomal RNA", at positions 29 to 523 of the family's 1533-position model. The record is from RNAcentral.
AACGAACGCUAGCGGCAUGCCUAACACAUGCAAGUCGAACGAGAUCUUCGGGUCUAGUGGCGCACGGGUGCGUAACGCGUGGGAAUCUGCCCUUUGGUUCGGAAUAACAGUUGGAAACGACUGCUAAUACCGGAUGAUGACGAAAGUCCAAAGAUUUAUCGCCAGAGGAUGAGCCCGCGUAGGAUUAGCUAGUUGGUGUGGUAAAGGCGCACCAAGGCGACGAUCCUUAGCUGGUCUGAGAGGAUGAUCAGCCACACUGGGACUGAGACACGGCCCAGACUCCGACUGGAGGCAGCAGUGGGGAAUAUUGGACAAUGGGCGAAAGCCUGAUCCAGCAAUGCCGCGUGAGUGAUGAAGGCCUUAGUGUUGUAAAGCUCUUUUACCCGGGAUGAUAAUGACAGUACCGGUAGAAUAAGCUCCGGCUAACUCCGUGCCAGCAGCCGCCGCCG